UUGUGCAUGUAGAUACAUUUAAUUUCUGUUUAAGUGUUGAUUACCAUGUCUUUACAGGAAACACUGCAAAAUACAGUCACCUCUAUGAUCUGUCCCGAUCAGAAAAGAGAAACUUCAUGAUGAAGCCGUGGCUAUUUGUUUAGAUGGUCAGCCUCUAGCAAUGAUUCAGCAGCUGCUACAGGUGGCAGUUGGCCCUCUUGACCUCUCACCCAAGGAUAUAGUGCAGAGUGCAAUCAUGAAAAUAAUUUCUGCAUUGAGUGGUGGCAGUGCUGACCUUGGUGGGCCAAGGGACCCACUGAAGGUCCUGGAAGGUGUUGUUGCAGCCGUCCACGCCAGUGUGGACAAGGGGUAAGACUAGAACAGUAUGUGCAUCUUCAUUAACUGGCUUUCCUCAGAGUAUUAGAAUCGCUCUUAGUAUCCAUG
Molecule: long non-coding RNA, 423 nt
Filed under: Rhinopithecus bieti (black snub-nosed monkey)
Lineage: Eukaryota; Metazoa; Chordata; Mammalia; Primates; Cercopithecidae
Description: lncRNA (ENSRBIG00000045643.1)
Source: RNAcentral